Molecule: ribosomal RNA, 292 nt
Filed under: uncultured bacterium
Lineage: Bacteria
Description: partial 16S ribosomal RNA
Source: RNAcentral
GGACUACUCGGGUAUCUAAUCCUGUUCGCUCCCCUAGCUUUCGCAUCUCAGCGUCAGUUCCCAGCCAGGACACUGCCUUCGCCUUUGGUAUUCCUCCGGAUAUCUACGCAUUUCACCACUCCACCCGGAAUUCUAUGUCCCUCUCUGGUCCUCAAGUCUCGCAGUGUUCGAAGGCCUUGCUCAGUUAAGCCGAGCACUGUCACUCCAAACUGACGAAACCGCCUGCAUGCCCUUUACGCCCAGUAACUCCGGACAACGCUCGCCCCCUACGUAUUACCGCGGCUGCUGGCAC